Molecule: ribosomal RNA, 403 nt
Filed under: uncultured bacterium
Lineage: Bacteria
Description: partial 16S ribosomal RNA
Rfam family: Bacterial small subunit ribosomal RNA
Source: RNAcentral
UGGGGAAUAUUGCACAAUGGGCGAAAGCCUGAUGCAGCAACGCCGCGUGAGUGAUGAAGGUCUUCGGAUUGUAAAGCUCUGUCUUUUGGGACGAUAAUGACGGUACCAAAGGAGGAAGCCACGGCUAACUACGUGCCAGCAGCCGCGGUAAUACGUAGGUGGCGAGCGUUGUCCGGAUUUACUGGGCGUAAAGGGUGCGUAGGCGGAUGUUUAAGUGAGAUGUGAAAUACCCGGGCUUAACUUGGGUGCUGCAUUUCAAACUGGAUAUCUAGAGUGCAGGAGAGGAGAAUGGAAUUCCUAGUGUAGCGGUGAAAUGCGUAGAGAUUAGGAGAACACCAGUGGCGAAGGCGAUUCUCUGGACUGUAACUGACGCUGAGGCACGAAAAGCGUGGGUAGCAAAACA